This 108-nucleotide small nuclear RNA is filed under the name Prolemur simus (greater bamboo lemur). Lineage: Eukaryota; Metazoa; Chordata; Mammalia; Primates; Lemuridae. The record is from RNAcentral.
UUGCUUAGGCAAAGCAGCACACAUACUAAAAUUGGAACGAUACAGAGAAGUUUAGCAUGACCCUUGCGUAAGAAUGACAUGUACAUUUGUGAAGCGUUCCAUAUUAAA